This 69-nucleotide transfer RNA is filed under the name Nocomis biguttatus (hornyhead chub). RNAcentral's name for it is "tRNA-Ser". RNAcentral also lists the same sequence under 1 other name. The record is from RNAcentral. Lineage: Eukaryota; Metazoa; Chordata; Actinopteri; Cypriniformes; Leuciscidae.
AAGGAAGGGCAGAAAUCAGUAAGUACUGCUAAUACUUAUGCACCAAGGUUAAAAUCCUAGGCUUCUUUA